CCUGGUGGCUCAGAGGUUAAAGCAUCUGCUUGCAAUGCAGGAGACCUGGGUUCUAUCCCUGGGUCAGGA
This 69-nucleotide transfer RNA is filed under the name Bos taurus (domestic cattle). It matches the Rfam family "tRNA". From Rfam's summary of the family: Transfer RNA (tRNA) molecules are approximately 80 nucleotides in length. Their secondary structure includes four short double-helical elements and three loops (D, anti-codon, and T loops). Further hydrogen bonds mediate the characteristic L-shaped molecular structure. tRNAs have two regions of fundamental functional importance: the anti-codon, which is responsible for specific mRNA codon recognition, and the 3' end, to which the tRNAs corresponding amino acid is attached (by aminoacyl-tRNA synthetases). tRNAs cope with the degeneracy of the genetic code in two manners: having more than one tRNA (with a specific anti-codon) for a particular amino acid; and 'wobble' base-pairing, i.e. permitting non-standard base-pairing at the 3rd anti-codon position. The record is from Rfam by way of RNAcentral. Lineage: Eukaryota; Metazoa; Chordata; Mammalia; Artiodactyla; Bovidae. RNAcentral also lists the same sequence under 6 other names.